GCUGUAGCUCAGAGGUAAUGUACAUGCUUUGCAUUCAAAAGGUUCCAGGUUCAAUCCCUGGCAUCUGCA
Molecule: non-coding RNA, 69 nt
Organism: Podarcis lilfordi (Lilford's wall lizard)
Lineage: Eukaryota; Metazoa; Chordata; Lepidosauria; Squamata; Lacertidae
Source: the annotation of a GenBank genome assembly